This 462-nucleotide ribosomal RNA is filed under the name uncultured bacterium. RNAcentral's name for it is "bacterial SSU rRNA". It matches the Rfam family "Bacterial small subunit ribosomal RNA", at positions 1 to 463 of the family's 1533-position model. The record is from RNAcentral.
CCCUUAGAGUUUGAUCCUGGCUCAGAUUGAACGCUGGCGGCAGGCCUAACACAUGCAAGUCGAGCGGUAGCACAGAGAGCUUGCUCUCGGGUGACGAGCGGCGGACGGGUGAGUAAUGUCUGGGAAACUGCCUGAUGGAGGGGGAUAACUACUGGAAACGGUAGCUAAUACCGCAUAACGUCGCAAGACCAAAGUGGGGGACCUUCGGGCCUCAUGCCAUCAGAUGUGCCCAGAUGGGAUUAGCUAGUAGGUGGGGUAACGGCUCACCUAGGCGACGAUCCCUAGCUGGUCUGAGAGGAUGACCAGCCACACUGGAACUGAGACACGGUCCAGACUCCUACGGGAGGCAGCAGUGGGGAAUAUUGCACAAUGGGCGCAAGCCUGAUGCAGCCAUGCCGCGUGUGUGAAGAAGGCCUUCGGGUUGUAAAGCACUUUCAGCGGGGAGGAAGGCGUUAAGGUUAA